RNAcentral lists this transfer RNA (68 nucleotides) under Marmota monax (woodchuck). Its description in RNAcentral is "tRNA.Ala". Lineage: Eukaryota; Metazoa; Chordata; Mammalia; Rodentia; Sciuridae. The record is from RNAcentral.
GGGUUGUAGCUUAGUGGUAGAGUACUUGCCUAGCGUGUGUGAGGAACUGGGUUCAAUUCUCAGCCCCA